This 838-nucleotide ribosomal RNA is filed under the name uncultured bacterium. RNAcentral's name for it is "bacterial SSU rRNA". It matches the Rfam family "Bacterial small subunit ribosomal RNA", at positions 22 to 873 of the family's 1533-position model. The record is from RNAcentral.
GCUCAGGAUAAACGCUUGCGGUGUGCCUUAUGCAUGCAAGUCGAACGGUCCUUCUCUUCGGAGAAGGAUAGUGGCGAACGGGUGAGUAACGCGUAAGUAACCUGCCCUCAAGUAGGGGAUAACCCUGAGAAAUUAGAGCUAAUACCGUAUAUGGUGGUAGGGGUAAUGCUCUAUCACUAAAGCCUUAGGGCGCUUGGGGAGGGGCUUGCGUCCGAUUAGCUAGUUGGUAGGGUAACGGCUUACCAAGGCGAUGAUCGGUAGCUGGUUUGAGAGGACGGCCAGCCACAUUGGGACUGAGACACGGCCCAGACUCCUAUGGGAGGCAGCAGCAAGGAAUAUUGUGCAAUGGGCGAAAGCCUGACACAGCGACACCGCGUGGGGGAUGAAGGCCUUCGGGUCGUAAACCCCUUUUCUCAGGGAAGAAUAAUGACGGUACCUGAGGAAUAAGUCUCGGCUAACUACGUGCCAGCAGCCGCGGUAAUACGUAGGAGGCGAGCGUUAUCCGGAUUUACUGGGCGUAAAGAGGGCGUAGGCGGCUUUUCAAGUCGGAUAUAAAAUCUCCUGGCUUAACUGGGAGGGGCUAUUCGAUACUGUUAGGCUAGAGGGCAGCAGGGGGAGGUGGAAUUCCCGGUGUAGUGGUGAAAUGCGUAGAUAUCGGGAGGAACACCAGUGGCGAAGGCGGCCUCCUAGGCUGUUUCUGACGCUGAGGCCCGAAAGCGCGGGGAGCGAACAGGAUUAGAUACUCUGGUAGUCCACGCUGUAAACGAUGGACACUAGGUAUGGGGGGUAUCGACCCUCUCCGUGCCGAAGCUAACGCGUUAAGUGUCCCGCCGGGGGG